AGGACGAACGCUGGCGGCGUGCUUAACACAUGCAAGUCGAGCGGAAAGGCCCUUCGGGGUACUCGAGCGGCGAACGGGUGAGUAACACGUGAGCAACCUGCCCUUAGCUCCGGGAUAGCUCCGGGAAACCGGAAUUAAUACCGGAUACGACCACGGCCGACAUCUGCUGUGGUGGAAAGGAUUCCGGCUAAGGAUGGGCUCGCGGCCUAUCAGCUAGUUGGUGGAGUAACGGCCCACCAAGGCGACGACGGGUAGCCGGCCUGAGAGGGCGACCGGCCACACUGGGACUGAGACACGGCCCAGACUCCUACGGGAGGCAGCAGUGGGAAUAUUGCGCAAUGGGCGAAAGCCUGACGCAGCGACGCCGCGUGGGGGAUGAAGGCCUUCGGGUUGUAAACCCUUUCAGCAGGGACGAAGCGAAAGUGACGGUACCUGCAGAAGAAGCGCCGGCUAACGUACGCGCCAGCAGCCGC
Molecule: ribosomal RNA, 473 nt
Filed under: uncultured bacterium
Lineage: Bacteria
Description: SSU rRNA
Rfam family: Bacterial small subunit ribosomal RNA
Source: RNAcentral